GGAUGAUAAAAUAUGCAUACAUGCUCCAUCAUCAGCACCACUUAUUCUUAUAACUUCUCCAAACAAACUUCCAUAAAACUGAAUAUUCUUAAUGAAAACAAGAGAACGAUCUUACUCCUGGCCUGCCAGCAAACUGUAUUACCUUGCACAGUUCCAUGUCACGUAGCGAAACGAUCCUCUUGUCAAUCCCUGCAUUACAGCAAAUCCACGAAUAUAUAAAUUCCAUCGCAUCGUCGUUUGAUUUCCUCCUGUCGAAGGGUGGGACUCCGCGAGCCUCCGAGAGGAACACGGGGGAAGCUCGCGAACGUAGCUUUCGUAGCCUGUGCACGGAGCUUCUGUACGUUGAAUUUUUCCCUCUUAAACCUCUUUCACUCGGAAAUUUCGAUAAGUCGAGGCUCCAGAAGUCGAAGAUUUUAGAUCUGCUCCGUUGGGAGUUCGAGCUACCAAGUUUCGGCUGUGCGAAGGUCCCGGGCUGAGACCGAGCAGAGAUACAAAACCGAUGCAACGUGAAACGGAUGAAAAUCUCGAUUUGUCUGGCUCGUUGACUCGCAUCGGUUUCACGGUAGGCGCCUAUGAACAGAUUCAGACAGGAUCGCUAAAAGAAAUCGCCAGAUCGAAAUGUUAAUACACGAGGACCAAAGCGAUCAUCUUCUCUAUCUCUGCUCGCUAUCUACGACACGUAGAACCGCGUUACACCUGGCGUAUACUUGCGCGAUAUUGCGGCUUUAUUGUACGUACACAUGGCCAGACUGUGUGUGCAUGUGCUCGAUGGUCCCAGGUUUAUUGCGACGAGCGUUAUCGCGACCAGACGGAACGAACGUCUCGCAGCAAGUGGGCAGUAACGUUUGACGAGCGGUCUAACCCUUUAAUUGAGUGCAGUUUUACGAUUUCAGACGUCGUUUCGGACAAAGGAGCGAAGAAUUCUGGAACGUUAUGCGGCGCGCCGGAAUAAUUCCGCCGCAGCUACCAGCGAAUAAUUUCAAUGCACGCCGAACUCGCCUCGUUUUCGUUCAUCGAUCCACCUCGUAAUGGACGCUGUCCUACGCUGUUUCUUGUUAAUUUAUCAGACCAGCUAAUGCUCCACCACCAUCGAUCCACUUAGCGAUUAUAACAUCGUGCUACGUUCUUCUCUCCAAGGUUUUUCCAAUCUUACGAUCUUGGAUUUACGAUUAUAGAGAUAGUCUACAAUUUGUUCGGCAUCUCAGAUUUUUUCAACAUUUUCCACGCGCUAUUUAGACACUUUUUAUCUGAAGUAUAGGAAGACGACGGUCAUUUGCAUAUUCGAUAUAACACGUGGCAU
Molecule: unclassified non-coding RNA, 1300 nt
Filed under: Bombus terrestris (buff-tailed bumblebee)
Lineage: Eukaryota; Metazoa; Arthropoda; Insecta; Hymenoptera; Apidae
Description: misc RNA ENSBTSG00005038448.1
Source: RNAcentral